RNAcentral lists this ribosomal RNA (253 nucleotides) under uncultured bacterium. RNAcentral describes it as "partial 16S ribosomal RNA". It matches the Rfam family "Bacterial small subunit ribosomal RNA", at positions 524 to 776 of the family's 1533-position model. The record is from RNAcentral.
UACGUAGGGGGCAAGCGUUGUCCGGAUUUAUUGGGCGUAAAGAGCGUGUAGGCGGCCAGACAGGUCUGCUGUGAAAACUCGAGGCUCAACCUCGAGACGCCGGUGGAAACCGUUUGGCUAGAGUCCGGAAGAGGAGAGUGGAAUUCCUGGUGUAGCGGUGAAAUGCGCAGAUAUCAGGAAGAACACCCGUGGCGAAAGCGGCUCUCUGGAACGGUACUGACGCUGAGACGCGAAAGCGUGGGGAGCGAACAGG